GCUCUUUCCAAAAGCUGCGAAAAGCUAUAUUUCACUGAACCCCCUCCCCUGUUAAAAACGUUAGCUGGUAGCAGCGCGUGUAUUUUAAGUUUCAGAAACAAUACUGUGAUCUUGUCCUCCGAGACUCGGUGCAUUUAGCUGGAUCUUCAUCGUAGUAGGGAUGCACAGUUUUAUAGACAGGAAAUAGAAGUGUUUUCCUCAAAUAAUCCCCAAGGAAUACUCAUUCAACAUUAUUAUCAUCCAGAACUUCUUUGGCUGUUCGCUGACGAUUGUUUAUUUUCGUUCUCAUCUUCAUUUGACGCCCAAAUAUUCUUGGUAAUGCCACCAAAGAUUAAAGAAAUGAGAAGCAAUAUUUCGAUGGCUUGGAAAUGCAGAUGUUAGCCGUUAAGCUUUGUGCUACAGCGCAGGAAAUGGACAGCUCUGGUUGCAUAUAUUUUUAAUCUAUCUGAAAAAUUCUAAUCAUUUUUUGAAUUACUUGGAAAUUUGGAGAGAUUAUAUGAAUCAUUUUAUUGCUCUAAAUGAGAAACGUUGUUGAGCUUAUUGGUUCGAAUCUAUGUUAACUACAGAAGUUAGACUUUAUACAACCAUCAAGUAAAGUUUUUAUAAUGAAAAUAUUAAAAACUUCAAACUAUUCAAAAAUAUGUACCAGAUUCAAUCAGUUUCCAUACUAUAUUUUAAGAUAAGAAUGUAAAUGUUUUAUUAAAUGUACAUGAUAUGGGGCACUAUUAGUGACAUAUUAUUAAAAAAUUAUAAUGAUAUGAAGAUUUUAACCAGUACCCCUUUAUUUUAGCAUCUGACGCAUAUAGAGGCUUCUUGCUAAUUAAAAUAGUAUUUCAGAAAUAUAUUUAUAAUAUUUAACUUCAAAAGAAGUUUUAAAAGUCUUCGUUACAUUUUGAUGCUUUAAAAAUACGAUCAGAUUUAUGAAUUUUUUUGUUAUUUGUUACACUGUUAACUAUUUCAUGAUUCAAGCGCUAAGAGCUAAAAAUAUUGUACAAUAAAAAUAU
This 1004-nucleotide long non-coding RNA is filed under the name Stegodyphus dumicola. RNAcentral's name for it is "uncharacterized LOC118196637, transcript variant X2". Lineage: Eukaryota; Metazoa; Arthropoda; Arachnida; Araneae; Eresidae. The record is from RNAcentral.